AAGUCGUAACAAGGUUUCCGUAGGUGAACCUGCGGAAGGAUCAUUAACACGUAUCCAACGUUAAACCCCCCGUGAACCUUCAGAGCGUUCUUGCCGCCCGUGACAAUCAGCAAUCCUGGUAAAUCAAGUGGGAAUAUCCGUUAUUGAUUCAGGACCUCUGCUGUCAUGUGUUAGGGAAACCAUAGCGGCAAUUGAGAGCUUUUAUCGUUAGUUUGGCGUCCUGGCCGGGCGAGUGAAAGUGUCGCUAGACGGUUUCUAGGGUAAGGCUUCGCCAUCGCUGGAGGCUCACCACGUAGCCGGCGGACAAACUACAGGGCUUUAUGCCCCCUAAUGACGACCAAGUUAAAUAGGGCCUCUGUCACAUAGCAAGUGCGCCGUGCCAGAGGAAAAGUACAACUGUUAACAAUGGAUAUCUUGGUUCUC
RNAcentral lists this unclassified non-coding RNA (423 nucleotides) under fungal sp. Its description in RNAcentral is "partial internal transcribed spacer region". The stretch from base 1 to 46 matches the Rfam family "Eukaryotic small subunit ribosomal RNA", at positions 1786 to 1831 of the family's 1831-position model. Lineage: Eukaryota; Fungi. The record is from RNAcentral.